Molecule: long non-coding RNA, 1070 nt
Filed under: Equus caballus (horse)
Lineage: Eukaryota; Metazoa; Chordata; Mammalia; Perissodactyla; Equidae
Description: lncRNA (ENSECAG00000041554.2)
Source: RNAcentral
UUUAAUGGGUGAGAAAGUAGUGGCAGAGCUGGUGAGUAACUUGUCCAGGCUCCUCUGUUGAAGGACUGUCUCUGAGCAUCACGAAUCUCCACGUGAGGCUGGCCACCUCGCACCACCUGCAGCCGUUCUUCCAUGCUGUGGCCCAAACUCUUGCUUUCUGGGAAGCAGAACUUGGAUUUGAAGGGUGGCAGAGAGACACGAGAGACCUGGAGAGAAGGGCCACCCGGGGCGCAGGUGCAUUUGGUCAGCAGAAAGGCAGGACCGGAGAUCUGCACGGGACACGGGAGAGAGGCUGAACUGUAGGAAAGAGUAGCUAACCAUGUCAGGAGCACGUUUCUCAAAUUGGCCACGACGAACCCCCGGAGUGAUCAUGAUGGAGAAAAGACCACAAUUAGAAGACAGUGAGAGGAGCUUCAAAGGACUCCAUUGGCUUCCUCUAGCUCUGUAAAAAGUCCAAGAGAUAGGUUUCCCGAGCCAUCUGGAGCUCCUUUUCGGCAGGGUUGAGUCUAGUCUAUACUCCGCAGGAGGAAGUCGCUUGCGUAGUUGGAGACGUCUCCUGUGCAUUGGAGCCAGUGGCUUGAUGUCAACCUUGCUGGAGAACAAACCUAGUUUUACACCAACCUGUUGAAAAGAAGUCUUCCCACUGCUUAGGCAGACUUUGACAGGGAUGGACGCCUAGAGCUCAAAUAACUGUAGGGCCCUGAAGACAUGUUCUCAGCGAAUUUCUAAGAAGAAAUAUGAACAGAAGAGAAUAUAGAUGAAGAGGUUUUGAAACUUAUUCCCACAUGAUAUAGGAAAAAGAAAAGACAAUGCUAAUAAAGUUUUUAGAAGGUGAGGUAGUAUGAAUUUUAUUCAAAAGCGUUUACCUCCACAACUUUUUACUCACAGUUGGAUAUGUAGUGACUAUUACGUGUAUUAUAGUUUACAGAUUUGUUCAAAAUUGAAAAAUAUUUCUAUCGGUAGUAUUUCAUCUACAAAGUUAGAUUAACGUCUAAACAUUACAUAAACUUCUUCAGUGGGGUAGUUACUUAUUGUCAGCUGGUCACAAAAUGUGAUAACCAAAUUUGGAU